UGAAAGGCAAAAUAAGGAUAA
Molecule: non-coding RNA, 21 nt
Filed under: Caenorhabditis elegans
Lineage: Eukaryota; Metazoa; Nematoda; Chromadorea; Rhabditida; Rhabditidae
Source: RNAcentral